Arachis ipaensis is the source of this 403-nucleotide non-coding RNA. Lineage: Eukaryota; Viridiplantae; Streptophyta; Magnoliopsida; Fabales; Fabaceae. The record is from RefSeq and is a predicted model, not a curated record.
ACUCCCACAGACAGCCAAGAACUAGCCACCUCCACCUUCCAUUCUCUUCUUGUUUGUUCGAGUUUUGAGAGAGAAAAGCAAGCAAACUUCCACAGCUUCCAAGCUUCCAAGUCCGGCCUUUCACUUUCAAACUACAAUCAAAAUUCUGAACCAAUAAAGUAUUUUCUCUUCCUCUUUUUCACUUUUAUACCAGAGUUUAUAAAGUAAGAUGAAGUAUUUUAGUUGUUUACCUUCCUUGAAGUUUUGGAAAUGGCUAGCAAUGGAGAAAUUUGAUAUUUUUGAUGUUCUUGCUUAGGAACUCUUAUCUAAAAGCUUUAAGGAGUAAGAAACCGUCAUUUUCAGCUUGAGAAAGGCAAAAAAGUGAGCUAGGAAACAUUGAAGAGAGGACUGAUUUUGAGCUAAC